CAAGAAUGUAUAUCAAUCACAAAUGCUUUAUGUUAUUCAACAUUGCCUUUUAUUUCACUUAAAGGAUGUAUAUAACAUCAUAGGAUGAAACGGGGAUGUAUGUAAUGUCAUAGGAUGAAACAGGGCUGUUAUCAACAGACAUGUUGAAGGAACUUUAUUAAACUGUUAUUUGAGAUGUUUUUCCAUUUGUGCGUUUCUUUAAAAGUAUUUAUUUGUCAUCAAGUUUAGUAUUUCAUUACCAACUCACCUCCCAUCCCCUCCAGUCUACCCUGCUGGACAUCUCUGCCAAUACAUUUGAAGGUCGAUUCUGGGCAAAAGCGCAAAAAUUAUGUAUUUUAAACAGUAUAACUGAUCAAUGCACCACCAUACAUGGUCAUUUAUUGCUUAAAAUGGUUAAAUAAGAUAUUUGGCUACAGAAGUGCCAUUUCUUUCCGAUCUCCAAAAACAAAUCCUGUGAAAUGAUGUCAACACAUACUGGAGGAGUUACUGGCUAGCUACAGUGGCUAGCUUUGCUAACAAACUAGCUAUAGUGGCUGGCUUAGCAAACAAACUAGCUACAGUGGAUGGCUUAGCUAAUGAACUAGCUCUAGUGGCUAGCUUAGCUAACAAACUAGCUACAGUGGCUAGCUUAGCUAACGAACUAGAUACAGUGGCUAGCUUAGCUAACAAACUAGCUACAGUGGCUGGCUUAGCUAACAAACUAAGUACAGUGGAUGGCUUAGCUAACGAACUAGCUACAGUGGCUAGCUUAGCUAACGAAUUAGCUACAGUGGCUAGCUUAGCUAACGAAUUAGCUACAGUGGCUAUCUUAGCUAACAAACUAGCUACAGUGGCUUUCAUAGCUAAUGAACGAGCUACAGUUGAAGUCGAAGUUUACAUACACUUAGGUUGGAGUCAUUAAAACUUGUUUUUCAACCACUCCACAAAUUUCUUGUUAACAAACUAUAGUUUUGGAAAGUCGGUUAGGACAUCUACUUUGUGCAUGACACAAGUAAUUUUUCCAACAAUUGUUUACAGAGAGAUUAUUUCACUUAUAAUUCCCUGUAUCACAAUUCCAGUGGGUCAGAAGUUUACAUACACUAAGUUGACUGUGCCUUUAAACAGCUUGGAAAAUUCCAGAAAAUGAUGUCAUGGCUUUAGAAGCUUCUGAUAGGCUAAUUGACAUCAUUUGAGUCAAUUGGAGGUGUACCUGUGGAUGUAUUUCAAGGCCUACCUUCAAACUCAGUGUCUCUUUGCUUGACAUCAUGGGAAAAUCAAAAGAAAUCAGCCAAGACCUCAGAAAAAAAAUUCUAGACCUCCACAAGUCUGGUUCAUCCUUGGGAGCAAUUUCCAAACGCCUGAAGGUACCACGUUCAUCUGUACAAACAAUAGUACGCAAGUAUAAACACCAUGGGACCACGCAGCCGUCAUACCGCUCAGGAAGGAGACGCGUUCUGUCUCCUAGAGAUGUACGUACUUUGGUGUGAAAAGUGCAAAUCAAUCCCAGAACAACAGCAAAGGACCUUGUGAAGAUGCUGGAGGAAACAGGUACAAAAGUAUCUAUAUCCACAGUAAAACGAGUACUAUUUCGACAUAACCUGAAAGGCCGCUCAGCAAGGAAGAAGCCACUGCUCCAAAACCGCCAUUAAAAAAGCCAGACAACGGUUUGCAACUGCACAUGGGGACAAAGAUCGUACUUUUUGGAGAAAUGUCCUCUGGUCUGAUGAAACAAAAAUAGAACUGUUUGGCCAUAAUGACCAUCGUUAUGUUUGGUGGAAAAAGGGGGAGGCUUGCAAGCCGAAGAACACCAUCCCAACCGUGAAGCACGGGGGUGGCAGCAUCAUGUUGUGGGGGGUGCUUUGCUGCAGGAGGGACUGGUGCACUUCACAAAAUAGAUGGCAUCACGAGGCUGGAAAAUUAUGUGGAUAUAUUGAAGCAACAUCUCAAGACAUCAGUCAGGAAGUUAAAGCUUGGUCUCAAAUGGGUCUUCCAAAUGGACAAUGACCCCAAGCAUACUUCCAAAGUUGUUGCAAAAUGCCUUAAUGACAACAAAGUCAAGGUAUUGGAGUGUCCAUCACAAAGCCCUGACCUCAAUCCUAUAGAAAAUCUGUGGGCAUAACUGAAAAAGUGUGUGCGUGCAAGGAGGCCUACAAACCUGACUCAGUUACACCAGCUCUGUCAGGAGGAAUGGGCCAAAAUUCACCCAACUUAUUGUGGGAAGCUUGUGGAAGGCUACCCGAAACGUUUGACCCAAGGUAAACAAUUUAAAGGCAAUGCUACCAAAUACUAAUUGAGUGUAUGUAAACUUCCUACUUCAACUGCGCGUUGGUCAUGUGACUAGAAUGACCCUGAUGUAACACCAAAGGCACACCCCAUUUACGUUUGAAAAAUUGGGAAAGAUGCGGAUUUGGACUAUUUUUCGUGUCCAAAGUUGACCUUUAACAGGAAAUCCCCAUCUCUACUGCUACAGGUUAUAAAACAUGAUCAAAUAUCAUCUCCAAUAUUAACAUCUACUUUGUGACAGAAGAGCUCUUCAUUUCUCUGCUGAGUCGACAGUACCGGUAGUUUAGAAGUCUGUAACAGUUCUGUAGAACGUUUAGAGCCCUGACCCUAAACCGGGAUAAACUCUGAGCUCUAGUAAUAACCCACCCAAAAGGUCCUCCCGACUCUAAGGGCUCUAUUCAAUCCGUAUGGCUGAUGUUCAACCAGCUGAUAGAAAUGUAAAGGCAACGUUCCUGUAUUAGCAGAGAUUCACGGUCAGCGCUGCAUAUGUCAGCUCUCCAAUGGGAAAUGACCUUUACAUUUCUAUCACACGGCCUGUAAUGUUUCAGCCAUCCAGAUUGAAUACAGCCCUAAUUCUAGCUGAGUAACCGAACCCUAAGUAAGUUACACUAACCCCCUAACCAGCCUUAAAUGACCCCUAACCAGCCUUAAAUGACCCCUAACCAACCUUAAAUGAUCCCUAACCCCCUAACCAGCCUUAAAUGACCCCUAACCAGCCUUAAAUGACCCCUAACCCCCUAACCAGCCUUAAAUGACCCCUAACCAGCCUUAAAUGACC
Molecule: long non-coding RNA, 3040 nt
Filed under: Salmo salar (Atlantic salmon)
Lineage: Eukaryota; Metazoa; Chordata; Actinopteri; Salmoniformes; Salmonidae
Description: lncRNA (ENSSSAG00000122055.1)
Source: RNAcentral